RNAcentral lists this ribosomal RNA (497 nucleotides) under uncultured bacterium. Its description in RNAcentral is "partial 16S ribosomal RNA". It matches the Rfam family "Bacterial small subunit ribosomal RNA", at positions 28 to 507 of the family's 1533-position model. The record is from RNAcentral.
GAUGAACGCUGGCGGCGUGCCUAAUACAUGCAAGUCGAGCGAACGGACGAGGAGCUUGCUUCUCUGAUGUUAGCGGCGGACGGGUGAGUAACACGUGGAUAACCUACCUAUAAGACUGGGAUAACUUCGGGAAACCGGAGCUAAUACCGGAUAAUAUUUUGAACCGCAUGGUUCAAAAGUGAAAUACGGUCUUGCUGUCACUUAUAGGUGGAUCCGCGCUGGAUUAGCUAGUUGGUAAGGUAACGGCUUACCAAGGCAACGAUGCAUAGCCGACCUGAGAGGGUGAUCGCCCACCCGAGAAGUGAGACACCGUCCAGACUACUACGGGAGGGAGCAGUAGGCAAUGGGCCGCAAUGGGCGAAAGCCUGACGGAGCAGCGCCACGUGAGUGAUGAAGGCCUUCGGAUCGUAAAACUCUGUUAUUAGGGAAGAACAUAUGUGUACGUAACUGUGCACAGCUUGACGGUACCUAAUAAGAAAGCACCGGCUAACUACGUG